CUAAAUUUUUUUUGAAACUUUUGGUUCUUAUAAUGACAGCUUUUACAUGAACCACAAGUAUAAAACCCCACAGGUUUUUGUGCUUCUUCUUUAUUACCGUUUCUAAAGGUGCUUGGUGCCAAAACAUUUUUAAAACUUUUCCCUUUUCUAAAAAUAAUUUGUGGGACAGGAGGGAGUUCAGUUUUUAAAAAAUCAUCUUCUAGUAAAAGAGGCCAAUGUUUCGUUAAUAUUUUCUUAAAAUCUUUAGCAUGAGUAUUGUACUGAGUAUUAAAAGAGAAGGCAAAUUUAUUAUUAACCAAUGGGACUUGUUUUUC
Molecule: non-coding RNA, 314 nt
Organism: Pelobates cultripes (western spadefoot toad)
Lineage: Eukaryota; Metazoa; Chordata; Amphibia; Anura; Pelobatidae
Source: the annotation of a GenBank genome assembly